Molecule: non-coding RNA, 156 nt
Organism: Cicer arietinum (chickpea)
Lineage: Eukaryota; Viridiplantae; Streptophyta; Magnoliopsida; Fabales; Fabaceae
Source: Rfam
UUGCCUUAAACUAAUGAGUAAGGAAAACAAAGCGAGCGGUGAGAGCCGGUCGCCGCAUCCAUGAAUUGGUGCAAGAAUUUAUGGAGGGGUGAUGGGCUCUUCAUGUGUUGAUGUUGCUUACUUUGCAGAACUCACAUGAGUGGGCCUCCCAAUCCC